RNAcentral lists this ribosomal RNA (71 nucleotides) under Ailuropoda melanoleuca (giant panda). Lineage: Eukaryota; Metazoa; Chordata; Mammalia; Carnivora; Ursidae. The record is from RNAcentral.
CCUGAAUGUGCCCAAUCUCGUCUGAUCUCAGAAGCUAAGCAGGGUCGGGCCUGGUUAGUACUUGGAUGGGA